UCAUGCGAAAGUAAGGAAGUGUUCUUCACUACUAACUCCCGAUGUUACGUUGUCGGCCGCCAACGUAACCCUCCGCGAAGUUAGGAGUUAUACACUUCAAUUUAACUCCACUUUCUAGAGUUAUUCAAGAUACCCAAUCUAGAUACUUUCGCUUACAAGUCGAAUAGACCUCGUCUCUCACGAGCCUAUUUCCUAUAGUCCAACCGGCCUAAGGUUUGCUAGGUCCACUAAGACUCAACCCUAGGCUCUGAUACCAAAUUAAUCUGCCACGCCCCGGGGCUCAGCGGAAGCCUACCCGGCGCGUGUCCAGACCCGCCAUACGUCUAAAACAUAUAAGGCGUCUACAAAAAUAUUUCGAUAGAUAAAACAAUAAUACAAGAGAUCUAGUGAUAUCAGAGCAUUGUAAAACUAGUUCUAUAACAAGGAAAGGACACAAAGCUGAAAGUCCACUAAAGAAAAACAUAAAGUAAGUACAAUAGGGAUCCUAUAUCAUGUGCUAAAAGGAGUACAAGGUGGUAUCUCUAUAUAUGGUACAAAACCUCUCCCUCUCUCACAAAAUAUAAAAUGGAGGAGUAACCACCUAGCGCAAAAGAACUCUCCGUGAGCUAGCUACGCGACACCCUUGCCGCGAUCCCGUGCCUCCGCCGGUGCCGAAGGCUCUGAAAAGGAAACAUAGAAACAGGGGCGUGAGAACUAUUAAAAAUAGUUCCCAGUGGGCAAUUACUGACUUCAGUGAAAUGCACCACUAGUGGUGCACUUAUCUGAAGUCAGUAAUUGCCCACUGGGAACUAUCAUCUAAUAAUUAUCACGUCCUCUGUUCUAUGGUUUCUUUCAAAGCCUUCAGCACCGGUGGAGGCAUGGGAUCGCGGCAAAGGUGUCGCGUAGAUAGAUAGCGAGGAUUUUCUUUUGCUUAGGUGGUUUUUUCUCUUUGUUUGUUGUUGUGAGAGAGAGGUUUUUGUAUCCAUGUAUAGAAACCACUUAUGUACGACUAUUGGCACUUGUAUUUGGAAUCUUAGUUGUUCUACUUUUUUUUAUUUUAGUGGAUUUUAGUUUUUUGUUUACUCUCUUAUUGUAGAAUUUAGUUGUACUUUGCUCUGAAACUCCUAGUUGUUUCUUUUCUAUUUGUUUUACUUAUUGUUUAUUAUAGACGCCUUAUAUGUUUUAGACGUAUGGCGGGUCUGGACACGUGUUGGGCGGGCUUCCGCUGGGCCCCGGAGCGUGACAUAGUUUUAAUAUAUAUAUUUAUUAAAAAUAUUUAUAAAAUAUUAUAAUUAUUUAUACUAUAUAUGUUUUUAGUUUUUCAAGCCUAAUUCACACAACUCAAUUAAUACUCAAACUCAGCUCAUUUAAUAGCGAGCGGAAUAUCAAGCUGAACGCGAGCCGAAUACGAGCUAGCCGAGUUAAAUUAGCCUAGAUGUUGGAGAAAUAGUUUUCGCUGAAAUAAUUUUAUUUUGGAGAAUA
Molecule: long non-coding RNA, 1461 nt
Filed under: Ananas comosus (pineapple)
Lineage: Eukaryota; Viridiplantae; Streptophyta; Magnoliopsida; Poales; Bromeliaceae
Description: long non-coding RNA (ACOM_LNC016687)
Source: RNAcentral